This is a long non-coding RNA of Cynara cardunculus var. scolymus (artichoke), 609 nucleotides long. RefSeq lists it as uncharacterized. The transcript is spliced from 2 exons. NCBI's taxonomy places the organism in Eukaryota, Viridiplantae, Streptophyta, Magnoliopsida, Asterales, Asteraceae. The record is from RefSeq and is a predicted model, not a curated record.
GAAGCCUGGAAGAACGUCCGUUGUACUUGUAACCUGAAAACCUAUUUCAAAAUCCUCGGGAAAAGGGUCAUUUUUACGAAUCUCACUCAAUUCCAUUUUUUGAUUUCAAUGGCGAAUCCCGAUCAGCAACCAAACUUAAUUAGGCCAUGGAUCCUUGAAGUUGUCCCCUUCGUAGUUGUUGUUCUCAUUGCCGCUCAUGUCAUCGCUUUGGUUUAUUGGAUAUACAGAUUAGCUACGGAGAAGCUCCCUGGACGAAGAAAGAAGCACUAGAACUUUUAUAUUCUAAUUCGUAGUCCAGUGAUUCCACGAAGAAACGAAGGUGUAGUGAUCCAAUUUCGUGUUUUUAGUUUUGAAUUUAGUGUGUUUAUGCGGUAGGCAUGGAAGGUGUUCGACGAAAUGUGUGAAAGAAAUAUUGUCCAUUUGGGGGUCACAAAUGAAUUGAAGGGUGUUGUAAUCAGUUGGUAUUUUGUGAUUGUGAAAAGUUCUACUCGAUUUGAGGAUUACUACUUAUUGUGUUGUUCUGUGGUUUCUUGAUGAGAUGCCUCAAGAAAAGAAUAUUGUAUAUUUAAACACAAUCUGUAUGGCAAACAUUCAAUGGGGUUCCAAGAA